Ribosomal RNA from Cercocebus atys (sooty mangabey), 116 nucleotides. Lineage: Eukaryota; Metazoa; Chordata; Mammalia; Primates; Cercopithecidae. The record is from Ensembl.
GUCUACAGCCAUACCACCCUGAACACGCCUAUCUCGCCUGAUCUCAGAAACUAGGCAGGGCUGGGCCAGGUUCCAGCUUGGAUGGGAGGAGAAGAGAAAGUUAGUUUCCCUAGAAA